GAUGAACGCUGGCGGCGUGCCUAAUACAUGCAAGUCGAGCGAACAGAUGAGGAGCUUGCUCCUCUGACGUUAGCGGCGGACGGGUGAGUAACACGUGGAUAACCUACCUAUAAGACUGGGAUAACUUCGGGAAACCGGAGCUAAUACCGGAUAAUAUAUUGAACCGCAUGGUUCAAUAGUGAAAGACGGUUUUGCUGUCACUUAUAGAUGGAUCCGCGCCGCAUUAGCUAGUUGGUAAGGUAACGGCUUACCAAGGCGACGAUGCGUAGCCGACCUGAGAGGGUGAUCGGCCACACUGGAACUGAGACACGGUCCAGACUCCUACGGGAGGCAGCAGUAGGGAAUCUUCCGCAAUGGGCGAAAGCUUGACGGAGCAACGCCGCGUGAGUGAUGAAGGUCUUCGGAUCGUAAAACUCUGUUAUUAGGGAAGAACAAAUGUGUAAGUAACUGUGCACGUCUUGACGGUACCUAAUCAGAAAGCCACGGCUAACUACGUG
RNAcentral lists this ribosomal RNA (497 nucleotides) under uncultured bacterium. RNAcentral's name for it is "partial 16S ribosomal RNA". It matches the Rfam family "Bacterial small subunit ribosomal RNA", at positions 28 to 507 of the family's 1533-position model. The record is from RNAcentral.